CCUACGGGAGGCAGCAGUGAGGAAUAUUGGUCAAUGGAGGCAACUCUGAACCAGCCAAGUCGCGUGAAGGAUGACUGCCCUACGGGUUGUAAACUUCUUUUUUAAGGGAAUAAAGUGAGCCACGUGUGGCUUUUUGCAUGUACCUUACGAAUAAGGAUCGGCUAACUCCGUGCCAGCAGCCGCGGUAAUACGGAGGAUCCGAGCGUUAUCCGGAUUUAUUGGGUUUAAAGGGUGCGCAGGCGGGAUAUUAAGUCGGCGGUGAAAGUUUGCAGCUUAACUGUAAAAUUGCCGUUGAUACUGGUAUUCUUGAGUGUAUAUGAAGUAGGCGGAAUUUGUAGUGUAGCGGUGAAAUGCAUAGAUAUUACAAGGAACUCCGAUUGCGAAGGCAGCUUACUAAAAUACAACUGACGCUUAGGCACGAAGGCGUGGGGAUCAAACAGGAUUAGAUACCCUGGUAGUCCACGCAGUAAACGAUGAUUACUCGCUGUUUGCGAUACACAGUAAGCGGCUUAGCGAAAGCGUUAAGUAAUCCACCUGGGGAGUACGUUCGCAAGAAUGAAACUCAAAGGAAUUGACGG
RNAcentral lists this ribosomal RNA (578 nucleotides) under uncultured bacterium. RNAcentral describes it as "bacterial SSU rRNA". It matches the Rfam family "Bacterial small subunit ribosomal RNA", at positions 338 to 916 of the family's 1533-position model. The record is from RNAcentral.